GAGUUUGAUCUUGGCUCAGGAUAAACGCUGGCGGCGUGCAUUACCAAUGCGAGUCGUACGGGCAUUCUUCGGAGUGUCAGUGGCGGCCGGGUGCGUAACACGUGGGUGACCUACCCCGUUGUGGGGGAUACCCGCCCGAAAGGGUGGCUAAUACCGCAUACCUGUAGUGCUCUUGUGCGCUACAGAAAGCCUCUUCGUAAGGAGGGGCGCAGUGGGAGGGGCCCGCGGCCUAUCAGCUUGUCGGUGGGGUAACGGCCUACCGAGGCGACGACGGGUAGCCGGUCUGAGAGGACGAACGGCCACAGUGGGACUGAAAUAUGGUCCACAGCCCUACGGGGUUUAGCAUGGAGGAAUCUUGCGCAACGGCCUCACGGCCGGCGCAGCAACGCCGCGUGGGGGGAUGAAGGCUCUCGGGUCGUAAACCCCCUGUUGCUCGGGAAGAAGUACCCAGGAGGAGAUC
Molecule: ribosomal RNA, 460 nt
Filed under: uncultured bacterium
Lineage: Bacteria
Description: bacterial SSU rRNA
Rfam family: Bacterial small subunit ribosomal RNA
Source: RNAcentral